GUAAAUAGGUAAGUCUUCCGCCCACAAGUUUCGGCCUUGUAUUUGAGGUGUACCUCACUUAUC
This 63-nucleotide transfer RNA is filed under the name Cepaea nemoralis (banded wood snail). RNAcentral's name for it is "tRNA-Arg". The record is from RNAcentral. Lineage: Eukaryota; Metazoa; Mollusca; Gastropoda; Stylommatophora; Helicidae.